CCUACGGGAGGCAGCAGUGAGGAAUCUUGGUCAAUGGACGCAAGUCUGAACCAGCCAUGCCGCGUGCAGGAAGACGGCUCUAUGAGUUGUAAACUGCUUUUGUACGAGGGUAAAUCCCGAUACGUGUAUCGGGUUGAAAGUAUCGUACGAAUAAGGAUCGGCUAACUCCGUGCCAGCAGCCGCGGUAAUACGGAGGAUUCAAGCGUUAUCCGGAUUUAUUGGGUUUAAAGGGUGCGUAGGCGGUUCGAUAAGUUAGAGGUGAAAGCCCGGGGCUCAACUCCGGCACUGCCUCUGAUACUGGCGGGCUAGAGUUUAGUUGCGGUAGGCGGAAUGUAUGGUGGAGCGGUGAAAUGCAUAGAGAGCAUACAGAACACCGAUUGCGAAGGCAGCUUACCAAACUACGACUGACGUUGAGGCACGAAAGCGUGGGGAGCAAACAGGAUUAGAUACCCGAGUAGUC
Molecule: ribosomal RNA, 460 nt
Filed under: uncultured bacterium
Lineage: Bacteria
Description: partial 16S ribosomal RNA
Rfam family: Bacterial small subunit ribosomal RNA
Source: RNAcentral